Molecule: non-coding RNA, 78 nt
Organism: Schistosoma rodhaini
Lineage: Eukaryota; Metazoa; Platyhelminthes; Trematoda; Strigeidida; Schistosomatidae
Source: Rfam
AGCUUUCUGAAUCCGUGCCAAGAUUUCGUCAAAUAUUAACCCAAAACGUCUGAUAAGGCUUCAAAGAUUAGUGAAUUA